CGCGGAUUACGGUGGCGGCCUA
Molecule: non-coding RNA, 22 nt
Filed under: Arabidopsis thaliana (thale cress)
Lineage: Eukaryota; Viridiplantae; Streptophyta; Magnoliopsida; Brassicales; Brassicaceae
Source: RNAcentral